RNAcentral lists this ribosomal RNA (488 nucleotides) under uncultured Lachnospiraceae bacterium. RNAcentral describes it as "bacterial SSU rRNA". It matches the Rfam family "Bacterial small subunit ribosomal RNA", at positions 8 to 507 of the family's 1533-position model. Lineage: Bacteria; Bacillati; Bacillota; Clostridia; Lachnospirales; Lachnospiraceae. The record is from RNAcentral.
AGAGUUUGAUCCUGGCUCAGGAUGAACGCUGGCGGCGUGCUUAACACAUGCAAGUCGAACGAAGCAGGAGGGUGCUUGCACCUUCCUGACUGAGUGGCGGACGGGUGAGUAACACGUGGAUAAUCUGCCCUGCACAGGGGGACAACAGCUAGAAAUGGCUGCUAAUACCGCAUAAGCCUACAGCCUCGCAUGAGGGAGUAGGAAAAGAAAUUCGGUGCAGGAUGAGUCCGCGUCUGAUUAGCUAGUUGGAGGGGUAAGAGCCCACCAAGGCAACGAUCAGUAGCCGGCCUGAGAGGGCGACCGGCCACAUUGGGACUGAGACACGGCCCAAACUCCUACGGGAGGCAGCAGUGGGGAAUAUUGCACAAUGGGGGAAACCCUGAUGCAGCGACGCCGCGUGAGCGAGGAAGUAUUUCGGUAUGUAAAGCUCUAUCAGCAGGGACGAAAAAAAGACGGUACCUGACUAAGAAGCCCCGGCUAACUACGUG